This 451-nucleotide ribosomal RNA is filed under the name uncultured soil bacterium. Its description in RNAcentral is "bacterial SSU rRNA". It matches the Rfam family "Bacterial small subunit ribosomal RNA", at positions 951 to 1384 of the family's 1533-position model. The record is from RNAcentral.
UAGUGAUUAACGCGAAGAACCUUACCCAGGCUCGAAAUGCAGAUGACCAUCGGUGAAAGCCGACUCCCGCAAGGGCGUCUGUAUAGGUGCUGCAUGGCUGUCGUCAGCUCGUGUCGUGAGAUGUUGGGUUAAGUCCCGCAACGAGCGCAACCCUUGUUUCCUGUUGCCAUCACGUCAAGGUGGGCACUCUGGAGAGACUGCCGGUGACAAACCGGAGGAAGGUGGGGAUGACGUCAAGUCAGCAUGGCCUUUAUGUCUGGGGCCACACACGUGCUACAAUGGCCGGUACAAACCGUCGCGAGCCCGCAAGGGGGAGCUAAUCGGAGAAAGCCGGUCUCAGUUCGGAUUGUCGGCUGCAACUCGCCGGCAUGAAGUUGGAAUCGCUAGUAAUCGCGGAUCAGCACGCCGCGGUGAAUACGUUCCCGGGCCUUGUCACACCGAAUCGAAUUCC